AGAUAAGUGCACCCUGAACGCACCAGAUCUUGUCUGAUCUCAGAAGCUAAAAUAGAUAAGUGUUCACUUAUUCAUUUAUUUA
This 82-nucleotide ribosomal RNA is filed under the name Otolemur garnettii (small-eared galago). Lineage: Eukaryota; Metazoa; Chordata; Mammalia; Primates; Galagidae. The record is from RNAcentral.